GAUCCUGGCUCAGGAUGAACGCUAGCUACAGGCUUAACACAUGCAAGUCGAGGGGCAUCAGGAAGAAAGCUUGCUUUCUUUGCUGGCGACCGGCGCACGGGUGAGUAACACGUAUCCAACCUACCCUUUACUCGGGGAUAGCCUUUCGAAAGAAAGAUUAAUACCCGAUGGCAUAAUGAUUCCGCAUGGUUUCAUUAUUAAAGGAUUCCGGUAAAGGAUGGGGAUGCGUUCCAUUAGGUUGUUGUGAGUAACGG
RNAcentral lists this ribosomal RNA (254 nucleotides) under uncultured bacterium. RNAcentral's name for it is "partial 16S ribosomal RNA". It matches the Rfam family "Bacterial small subunit ribosomal RNA", at positions 15 to 263 of the family's 1533-position model. The record is from RNAcentral.